UCCCUCCAGAUUCCUUAUCUUUUAAACCUAAAUAGUGGUUACAGUGGCUUAAAAAAGGAGAAGAAAAGUAAAAUAGAAAUGGACUUGGAGUCUUUAGUGAUGAAUUCAUCUCAAACAAAC
This 120-nucleotide small nucleolar RNA is filed under the name Echinops telfairi (small Madagascar hedgehog). RNAcentral describes it as "Small nucleolar RNA SNORA61 (ENSETEG00000025992.1)". The record is from RNAcentral. Lineage: Eukaryota; Metazoa; Chordata; Mammalia; Afrosoricida; Tenrecidae.